This is a non-coding RNA of Rana temporaria (common frog), 72 nucleotides long. The record is from the annotation of a RefSeq genome assembly. Lineage: Eukaryota; Metazoa; Chordata; Amphibia; Anura; Ranidae.
GCGUUGGUGGUGCAGUGGUGAGCAUAGCUGCUUUCUAAGCAGAUGACCCGGGUUUGAUUCCCGGCUAACGCC